CUAUGGUUUAUUGGAUCUUACCCGUUAUAUGGAUAACUGUAAUAACUCUAGAGCUAAUACAUGCCUCGAUGCCCUGACCCCGGUUGGGUUGCACUUUUGUGUAGCCUGGCCAGGGAAUGGGUGCACUUAUUAGACUAGAAGCCAACCAUGCAGUCCACCCUCGGGUGCCUGUGUGCUGUCCUUCUGGUGACUCUGGAUAAUUGUUACAGAUCGCAGUCGGCCUUGUGUCGGCGACGGGUCCUUCAAAUGUCUGCCCUAUCAACUUUCGAUGGUAGGUGACCUGCCUACCAUGGUGAUAACGGGUAACGGGGAAUCAGGGUUCGAUUCCGGAGAGGGAGCCUGAGAAACGGCUACCACUUCCAAGGAAGGCAGCAGGCGCGCAAAUUACCCACUCCCAGUACGGGGAGGUGGUGACGAAAAAUACCGAUGCGGGACUCGUCAACGAGGCUCCGUAAUCGGAAUGAGUUGACUUUAAAUCCUUUAACGAGGACCCAUUGGAGGGCAAGUCUGGUGCCAGCAGCCGCGGUAACUCCAGCUCCAAUAGCGUAUAUUAAAGUUGCUGCAGUUAAAAAGCUCGUAGUUGGAUCUCGGUUGCACUGUCGCCUGUUAGUCCUUUGAAGGCAGUGCUAACGUUUGCCAGUGUUUCGUGUGUGCAACUAGUUGGCCGUUGUAGGCGCACACGCGCAGGCGUCGACUAUGCAUAUUUCUGCUGGUUGGCUGUCUGUUAGCGUUGUUGUCGUUUUGCACGUGUCGACGGUUGCCAUACUGCUGGUAGGCGGCUCUUUCAAGCUAGCAGUGGUGAUGGUGUCGCCUUUCAGCCAUGUCUGUGGUGCAAUACCCACAGGUGUAGGCGAGUGUCAGGCGGUGCAUGGCCUUCAGUGUUGUGUCCGUCGGCUCGCUUGCAUGCCUUUGGAUGCCCUUCACCGGGUGUUCACAGGCGGAUGGCACGUUUACUUUGAACAAAUUUGAGUGCUCAAACCAGGCCGAUGUUGCCUGAAAAGUUUUGCAUGGAAUAAUGGAAUAGGACUUCGGUUCUAUUUCGUUGGUUUUCGGAUCCGAAGUAAUGAUCAACAGAGACAGGCGGGGACGUUUGUAUGGCUGCGCUAGAGGUGAAAUUCAUGGACCGUAGCCAGACAAACUAAAGCGAAAGCAUUCGUCAAGCAUGUUUUCAUUGACCAUGAGCGAAAGUCAGAGGCUCGAAGACGAUCAGAUACCGUCCUAGUUCUGACCAUAAACGAUGCCAACUGACGAUCCGUGAUGGUAGUCCUUUACAUCUUCCUCACGGGCAGUCUCCGGGAAACCUUUAAGUCUUUGGGUUCCGGGGGAAGUAUGGUUGCAAAGCUGAAACUUAAAGGAAUUGACGGAAGGGCACCACCAGGAGUGGAGCCUGCGGCUUAAUUUGACUCAACACGGGAAAACUCACCCGGCCCGGACACUAUGAGGAUUGACAGAUUGAUAGCUCUUUCUUGAUUUGGUGGUUGGUGGUGCAUGGCCGUUCUUAGUUGGUGGAGCGAUUUGUCUGGUUAAUUCCGGUAACGAACGAGACUCUAGCCUGCUAAUUAGUACAAUCGUCAACUGUAUCUGUGUCGGCGGCGUUCGACGAGGCUUUUCUCGACAAAACCCUGGGUUCGGUUGSUCACAUGCAUGGUGUGUUGCUGUGCUUAGCUGUUCACGCUAUGUGCCUUGGUGGUGUCGGGCGUUCCGCGUCUGCCCGCUUGGGUGCUGGUUGUGGCUCUUUGUGCAGUGCAUGCCGUUACGUGUGUGUGUGGUUAGCCGGCACUUGGUUCAGAUGGCUGGUUCAGUGUUAGCCACCGGGUACGGCGCGAUUUGUCUACUUCUUAGAGGGACAAGCGGAUUCAAGCCGCACGAAAUUGAGCAAUAACAGGUCUGUGAUGCCCUUAGAUGUCCGGGGCCGCACGCGCGCUACAAUGACGGUGCCAACGAGUCUGACCUUCUGGCCCGAAAGGGUUGGGCAAACUGGUCAAUCACCGUCAUGACAGGGAUCGGGGCUUGGAAUUGUUCCCCGUGAACGAGGAAUUCCUAGUAAGUGCAAGUCAUAAGCUUGCGCUGAUUACGUCCCUGCCCUUUGUACACACCGCCCGUCGCUACUACCGAUUGAAUGGUUUAGUAAGGUCCUUGGAUUGGUGCCAUUGUGGUGGUUGUCGAAAGACAUUCACCCGACAGGCGCUAAGAAGACGACCAAACUUGAUCAUUUAGA
RNAcentral lists this ribosomal RNA (2218 nucleotides) under Tetragonocephalum sp. n. 3 AW-2016. Its description in RNAcentral is "SSU rRNA". It matches the Rfam family "Eukaryotic small subunit ribosomal RNA". Lineage: Eukaryota; Metazoa; Platyhelminthes; Cestoda; Lecanicephalidea; Tetragonocephalidae. The record is from RNAcentral.